GGUGGCUCAGUGGUAGAGCGCUUGCCUUCAUGCAUGAGGCCCUGAGUUUGAUUCCUCAGCACCA
Molecule: transfer RNA, 64 nt
Filed under: Dipodomys ordii (Ord's kangaroo rat)
Lineage: Eukaryota; Metazoa; Chordata; Mammalia; Rodentia; Heteromyidae
Rfam family: tRNA
About the family: Transfer RNA (tRNA) molecules are approximately 80 nucleotides in length. Their secondary structure includes four short double-helical elements and three loops (D, anti-codon, and T loops).
Source: Rfam by way of RNAcentral